RNAcentral lists this transfer RNA (76 nucleotides) under Oscillospiraceae bacterium. Its description in RNAcentral is "tRNA-Ala". It matches the Rfam family "tRNA". From Rfam's summary of the family: Transfer RNA (tRNA) molecules are approximately 80 nucleotides in length. Their secondary structure includes four short double-helical elements and three loops (D, anti-codon, and T loops). The record is from RNAcentral. Lineage: Bacteria; Bacillati; Bacillota; Clostridia; Eubacteriales; Oscillospiraceae.
GGGGGAUUAGCUCAGUUGGUAGAGCGCUUGAAUGGCAUUCAAGAGGUCAGGGGUUCGAAUCCCCUAUUCUCCACCA